UGUAAACGUUCGCGCGGGUGUGUGGUGUAUAAUAGUGGUUCCAAUUCUUGCAAACCUCUGCUUUCCCCACAAUCGCUAAAAAAAUGAAAUUUCUUCAAGAAAAACUUGUGGUCUUGCGCUGAAAUCCGCUUCAAGGAUCAUUGUCAACAC
Long non-coding RNA from Photinus pyralis (common eastern firefly), 150 nucleotides. RefSeq lists it as uncharacterized. Lineage: Eukaryota; Metazoa; Arthropoda; Insecta; Coleoptera; Lampyridae. The record is from RefSeq and is a predicted model, not a curated record. The transcript is spliced from 3 exons.